This 468-nucleotide ribosomal RNA is filed under the name Echiuroidea sp. RCMB0652. Its description in RNAcentral is "partial 16S ribosomal RNA". It matches the Rfam family "Bacterial large subunit ribosomal RNA", at positions 1890 to 2597 of the family's 2925-position model. Lineage: Eukaryota; Metazoa; Annelida; Polychaeta; Echiuroidea. The record is from RNAcentral.
UUCUUGCCGCAUCCCAUGACAAGUAGCCCCUGCCCAAUGACUCAAGUUAAAUGGCCGCUCACGUGCUAAGGUAGCAUAAUGAAUUGUCGCUUAAUUGGUGGCUUGUAUGAAAGGGAUAACGCUAGGUUAACUGUCUCCUCAAAAUUCAUAAAAAUUAACCUACGGGGUGAACAGGCCCCUAUUACUUCAAAAGACAAGAAGACCCUAAUGCGCUUCAGAGAAACAAUUAUUACAAUAAUCUACCUCUUUUGUUGGGGCGACAUCUGCACACAAAACACCAGAUCUCAACCAACGCCUACCGGCGUCCACAAUAACCCCUAUAGGGAUAUGCUAGCAACCAUAGGGAUAACAGGCUAAUCCUCUGUUGGAGUUCAUAUCGACCAGAGGGUUUGGCACCUCGAUGUUGGCUUAAGGGUCUCCCUAGGUGCAGGCGCUUAGGAGAGAGGUUUGUUCAACCUAUAACCCCUU